RNAcentral lists this unclassified non-coding RNA (205 nucleotides) under Hevea brasiliensis (rubber tree). Lineage: Eukaryota; Viridiplantae; Streptophyta; Magnoliopsida; Malpighiales; Euphorbiaceae. The record is from RNAcentral.
GCCAAAUGAAGUAAAGGAAUGAGAGAAUUUUGUUAUUUUGAUGUGACUCUCCUGUUAUGCUAAGAGUCACAUGGCGGUUUGGCAUCAACUUAUCUUAGAGCUCAGUUUUUUUUAUAUUUUUAUAGACAGAUAUAGUUAUGAAUUUGCCCAACGGCAGUGAAUGAUAACAGUGUCUGUCACGUUAUAGUCUUUUCAAUGGACAAAA